Molecule: long non-coding RNA, 1640 nt
Filed under: Spirodela polyrhiza (greater duckweed)
Lineage: Eukaryota; Viridiplantae; Streptophyta; Magnoliopsida; Alismatales; Araceae
Description: long non-coding RNA (SPOL_LNC002152)
Source: RNAcentral
GCUCGCUGCACUCUCAAACGAGUUUAUGUAGUACAGAUGCAGCCCAUCCAGUAUAUACGGAGCAAAGGCCUCUGGAGCGCUGUAAUGGGGAUAAGCUGGCCAAUCAAUCCGAACCGUCUCUGAUCGCACUCUGCCCAAAUGAAACAGUAAGCAAUUCAGCAGAGUCUACUACACAUGCUUGAGAAGAUCAUAAUUUCAUUUGCUCUCUUACCCAAAUAUCUGAUCCAGCAGGCUGUCCUCCAUCUUGGAACGAGAGAAGACCUUGUACACCUUGUCUUUUUCACCGUACUUCUUUUGGACAGCGAUACUCGAGAAUGGGACCUCAGGAACCUCCAUGGUGCCCACCAGGUGGGGAAUCUCCGACUCAGAAUUCAGACCAAAGUAUCCCUUGAACAAGAGCAGCAGAUCAAUAACCAGUAAACUUGAAUAAAUUUACAUGGGAGAGAUAUGGGCGCCGCCAACUGGGUUCGGCCAUUGCUGGCCUGGAAUCAGGCUGGCCAGCUCUGAUCCCCACCCUGAGCGCCAUGGGCGGCUCUGAUAGUAUACUUACAGGAUUUAGGAGGCCCCUCACAAAGGUGGCGUGUGUGUGCUGCAGGCUCCUGCUUGGGAUUGAAAUCGGAGGAGAGAAGGAGAUGUUGAGCUCGUCCAGCGGCGUGGCGAUCACUGCAACUCCACAGAGGUAUUGAUUCCCUCUCUUUGAUUGGAGCUCGUACUGCCCUCCCUUGUAGGAGAUGGAGGUGAUCUCCUCGUGGAGAUUCAGUGUCGCAUUCGAGUGCUUGAUCAACCCAGCGGCCAUCUGCCAGUUGCCGCCCUGCACUGACCACAGCCCCGACUCUGAGCCCGCCAGGCCAACAGCACCAGCGAGCCCACUUAUGUCAACAUUUUGGCCGUAAUUUAUCCUCGUUAUAACCUGUGAAUGAUCCAGCAUCCAUUAAUGCCAAGGUCUCCUUUUUAUAUGGCGAGUAAAAUAUGAAAACAAAAUCAUGUAGGCGAAGAACAUGAAUAUUUCAGUGGAUUCAGAUACAUGUUGGCAUAUAAGUUCUGUAGUUUACUAACAUUAGAAAAUACAUGCAGAAGGCUGAUUGAUUGCACUCUGAAGUUUUCACAUUCUGAAACAAGAUUUUGGAAGUGGAAAUCCAUCCUGCUGAGUAAAUUUUCUUCAAUUUUCCCAGGAAACAAUGAACAUAAAUGGCAAAUGAAGAACAUAACACCGGUGGAACAUACAAAAAAAUAUGCAGCUCCGACAAGACGUUCAUGCCCACAGCCGGGAGAGACAGACGACGGGUAUCUACCACGUAAUAUAGAAGGGAUUGUCAGGGAUGCCAGGGGCCGAUCGAUUCUUUAAUUAGAAGAAACCUGUGAAGAAUGAAGAACACCCAUUUGAUCUUCUUGAUUACUCAUUGAUCACCUGAUCCCUCUCUAAAAAGGCCGAGAAAAUUACACACAAAUAAAUUUGUGAUCAGACUGUUUUUGAGGAAAGACGAUAUUCUUGAACAAUAGAGGUUGCCAGGGAUGCCAGGGGCCGAUCGAUGCUUUAAUUAGAAGAAAGAUGUGAAGAAUGAAGAGCACCCAUAUGAUCAGACUGUUCUUGAGGAAAUACUAUAUUCUUGUACAGUAUAAUCUCUUCUCCUUUUUCCCCC